RNAcentral lists this ribosomal RNA (482 nucleotides) under uncultured bacterium. RNAcentral's name for it is "partial 16S ribosomal RNA". It matches the Rfam family "Bacterial small subunit ribosomal RNA", at positions 30 to 507 of the family's 1533-position model. The record is from RNAcentral.
AUUGAACGCUGGCGGCAUGCCUUAUACAUGCAAGUCGAACGGUAACGGGCCUUCGGGUGCCGACGAGUGGCGAACGGGUGAGUAAUACAUCGGAACGUGCCCGAUCGUGGGGGAUAACGAGGCGAAAGCUUUGCUAAUACCGCAUACGAUCUACGGAUGAAAGCAGGGGACCGCAAGGCCUUGCGCGGACGGAGCGGCCGAUGGCGGAUUAGGUAGUUGGUGGGAUAAAAGCUUACCAAGCCGACGAUCUGUAGCUGGUCUGAGAGGAUGAUCAGCCACACUGGGACUGAGACACGGCCCAGACUCCUACGGGAGGCAGCAGUGGGGAAUGUUGGACAAUGGGCGCAAGCCUGAUCCAGCCAUGCCGCGUGCAGGAUGAAGGCCUUCGGGUUGUAAACUGCUUUUGUACGGAACGAAAAGCCUUCUUUUAAUACAGGAGGGUCAUGACGGUACCGUAAGAAUAAGCACCGGCUAACUACGUG